GCCAAACACAAGUAUUUUUUUAAUAACUUUCGACAAUUUUUAUCUAAGCGCAACCAAAUUUUCGGAUAUUUCAAAGACAGAAGUUAUUAAUGUAUAUACCAAAAAUCGGGCAUUAAAAUUACGCUUGAUAUUCGAUUUUCGGGGGUGGAAGUGGAAGGCAAACGUUUUAAAUAAACUUGAUCUGCGUCCUCUGAAAUCUAGGUGAUCAUUUGUAUUUAAAACAUAGAAUACUGCGGACUGCACUUAAAUAUAAUACAUUGAAAUUAUUUCUUUAAGAAUUCAUAACUCUUAUUUGAGGUCCCUGCUUAAAAGUCGAGGCAACCAAGCACAUUGACGGGGGCAAUAUACACUUUGUCACGUGCUAAUAAUACGGCGUAGUGUCCCGUUGUCCUAGUGACAAUAAAUGUUAAUUGAAUAAAUUAAAUGUUGAGAACACUG
Long non-coding RNA from Drosophila albomicans, 438 nucleotides. RefSeq lists it as uncharacterized. The record is from RefSeq and is a predicted model, not a curated record. The transcript has 3 exons. Lineage: Eukaryota; Metazoa; Arthropoda; Insecta; Diptera; Drosophilidae.